Molecule: ribosomal RNA, 633 nt
Filed under: uncultured bacterium
Lineage: Bacteria
Description: bacterial SSU rRNA
Rfam family: Bacterial small subunit ribosomal RNA
Source: RNAcentral
GAGUUUGAUCCUGGCUCAGAGCGAACGCUGGCGGCGUGCUUAACACAUGCAAGUCGAGUGCGCGCCUGUAGCAAUACAGGUGGCGCACGGCGCACGGGUGCGUAACACGUGGGUAAUCUGCCCUUCGAUGGGGAAUAACUUCGGGAAACCGAAGCUAAUUCCGCAUGACAUUCCUUGAACCUCGGUUUGGGGACUCAAAGCCGUAAGGCGUCGGAGGAGGAACCCGCGCACGAUUAGCUAGUUGGUAGGGUAACGGCCUACCAAGGCUUUGAUCGUUAGCUGGUCUGAGAGGAUGGCCAGCCACACUGGAACUGAGACACGGUCCAGACUCCUACGGAAGGCAGCAGUGGGGAAUCUUGCACAAUGGGCGAAAGCCUGAUGCAGCGACGCCGCGUGGGGGAUGAAGCUUUUCGGAGUGUAAACCCCUUUCGACCCGGACGAAUGCCCCGCAAGGGGACUGACGGUACGGGUAUAAGAAGCCCCGGCUAACUACGUGCCAGCAGCCGCGGUAAGACGUGGGGGGCCAGCGUUGCUCGGAAUUACUGGGUGUAAAGGGUUCGUAGGCGGUGUGGCAAGUCGGGAGUGAAAUCUCUGGGCUUAACUCAGAGACUGCUUCCGAAACUGCUGUGCUUG